AUUGAACGCUGGCGGCAUGCCUUACACAUGCAAGUCGAACGGCAGCACGGGAGCAAUCCUGGUGGCGAGUGGCGAACGGGUGAGUAAUAUAUCGGAACGUGCCCAGUCGUGGGGGAUAACGUAGCGAAAGCUACGCUAAUACCGCAUACGAUCUAUGGAUGAAAGCGGGGGGAUCGCAAGACCUCGCGCGAUUGGAGCGGCCGAUAUCAGAUUAGGUAGUUGGUGGGGUAAAAGCCUACCAAGCCUUCGAUCUGUAGCUGGUCUGAGAGGACGACCAGCCACACUGGAACUGAGACACGGUCCAGACUCCUACGGGAGGCAGCAGUGGGGAAUUUUGGACAAUGGGCGCAAGCCUGAUCCAGCAAUGCCGCGUGCAGGAUGAAGGCCUUCGGUUGUAACUAGCUUUUGUACGGUAACGAAACGGACGUACUUU
Molecule: ribosomal RNA, 433 nt
Filed under: uncultured bacterium
Lineage: Bacteria
Description: bacterial SSU rRNA
Rfam family: Bacterial small subunit ribosomal RNA
Source: RNAcentral